Mesocricetus auratus (golden hamster) is the source of this 314-nucleotide unclassified non-coding RNA. Its record names the gene 7SK. It matches the Rfam family "7SK RNA". Rfam says of the family: 7SK was discovered as an abundant small nuclear RNA in the mid-70s but a possible function has only recently been suggested. Two independent studies have found that 7SK RNA binds the CDK9/cyclin T complex (known as elongation factor P-TEFb). NCBI's taxonomy places the organism in Eukaryota, Metazoa, Chordata, Mammalia, Rodentia, Cricetidae. The record is from Ensembl.
GGAUGUGAGGGCGAUCUGGCUGCGACAUCUGUCACCCCACUGAUCGCCAGGGUUGAUUCGGCUGAUCUGGCUGGCUAGGCGGGUGUCCCCUUCCUCCCUCACCGCUCCAUGUGCGUCCCUCCCGAAGCUGCACGCUCGGUCGAAGAGGACGACCUUCCCCGAAUAGAGGAGGACCGGUCUUCGGUCAAGGGUAUACGAGUAGCUGCGCUCCCCUACUAGAACCUCCAAACAAGCUCUCAAGUUCUUAGCCACUGUUCCAGUGCCAUGCCUGCCUGCUGCCAUGCUCCCAACCAUGAGAGUCAUGGAUUCUACUC